Molecule: ribosomal RNA, 280 nt
Filed under: Escherichia coli
Lineage: Bacteria; Pseudomonadati; Pseudomonadota; Gammaproteobacteria; Enterobacterales; Enterobacteriaceae
Description: partial 23S ribosomal RNA
Rfam family: Bacterial large subunit ribosomal RNA
Source: RNAcentral
AGACCCGAAACCCGGUGAUCUAGCCAUGGGCAGGUUGAAGGUUGGGUAACACUAACUGGAGGACCGAACCGACUAAUGUUGAAAAAUUAGCGGAUGACUUGUGGCUGGGGGUGAAAGGCCAAUCAAACCGGGAGAUAGCUGGUUCUCCCCGAAAGCUAUUUAGGUAGCGCCUCGUGAAUUCAUCUCCGGGGGUAGAGCACUGUUUCGGCAAGGGGGUCAUCCCGACUUACCAACCCGAUGCAAACUGCGAAUACCGGAGAAUGUUAUCACGGGAGACACA